GCUGGGCAUGGUGGUGCAUGCCUGUAAUCCCAGCUUCUUGGGAGGCUGAGGCAGGAGAAUCACUUGAACCCAGGAGGUGGAAGUUGCAAUGAGCCGAGAUCGUGCCACUGCAGUCCAGCCUGGGUGACAGAAUGAGAAUCUGUCUCAA
Molecule: unclassified non-coding RNA, 148 nt
Organism: Papio anubis (olive baboon)
Lineage: Eukaryota; Metazoa; Chordata; Mammalia; Primates; Cercopithecidae
Rfam family: Metazoan signal recognition particle RNA
About the family: The signal recognition particle (SRP) is a universally conserved ribonucleoprotein. It is involved in the co-translational targeting of proteins to membranes.
Source: Ensembl